GGGGCUGUAGCUCAGUGGCAGAGCACUUGUCUUGCACGUGGGAGGCACUGGGUCUGAUUCUCAGCACCACUU
This is a non-coding RNA of Ictidomys tridecemlineatus (thirteen-lined ground squirrel), 72 nucleotides long. The record is from Rfam. NCBI's taxonomy places the organism in Eukaryota, Metazoa, Chordata, Mammalia, Rodentia, Sciuridae.